GUGAAUAUAGCGCAUCUCUUCGGAGAGCGUGACCUCCACUUUCAACUCUGUGCAUUUUUGGCGAGGGAACGAGACGAAGCGACGCAAGUUGCAGACUCUCGCCUCUUGCGGCUCAUUUUAAACACUAGUUAAAGUAUGUAACGAAAUAUCGAAACAAAAAA
RNAcentral lists this unclassified non-coding RNA (161 nucleotides) under soil metagenome. RNAcentral describes it as "partial internal transcribed spacer 1". The record is from RNAcentral.